This 253-nucleotide ribosomal RNA is filed under the name uncultured bacterium. RNAcentral's name for it is "partial 16S ribosomal RNA". It matches the Rfam family "Bacterial small subunit ribosomal RNA", at positions 524 to 776 of the family's 1533-position model. The record is from RNAcentral.
UACAGAGGUCUCAAGCGUUGUUCGGAUUCAUUGGGCGUAAAGAGCGCGUAGGCGGCCCGGAAAGUGGGGUGUGAAAACCCGAGGCUCAACCUCGGGCGUGCACUCCAAACUCCCGGGCUUGAGGCAGGUAGGGGAGAUCGGAAUUCCUGGUGUAGCGGUGAAAUGCGCAGAUAUCAGGAGGAACACCGGUGGCGAAGGCGGAUCUCUGGGCCUGUUCUGACGCUGAGGCGCGAAAGCUAGGGGAGCAAACAGG